AUUCACUUUCCGCUUGUGUUGUAGUAUUAUUAAUUCUUCUAGUUACUGAGUACUUCUAGACUCAUAAUUUUAUUGUGCAGCUACUCCACGUAGUGUUUUCCAACAUGGCAUCUAUUUUGG
Molecule: non-coding RNA, 120 nt
Organism: Caenorhabditis elegans
Lineage: Eukaryota; Metazoa; Nematoda; Chromadorea; Rhabditida; Rhabditidae
Source: Ensembl